GCAGCACCCUGAGUCGGCUUCUUAGGGGUAAAGAAAAGAAAAGAAAAGAAAAGAAUCGAUGUUGUAAUAUUAUGUUUAGAAAUCGAUUGUAUAUUUGGAAAUUGAGGAUCAAUGUAAUGAAAAAUGCGCUGUAAAAUGAUGAGAUGAAUGAUUGUAAUAACAUAAGAUGUGUUAUGUUGUUUGAUACCUUCCUUAUGCAAUCGUUGUUGAAAAUUGUUCCUGUUUGGAA
Molecule: long non-coding RNA, 229 nt
Filed under: Ananas comosus (pineapple)
Lineage: Eukaryota; Viridiplantae; Streptophyta; Magnoliopsida; Poales; Bromeliaceae
Description: long non-coding RNA (ACOM_LNC017781)
Source: RNAcentral